Molecule: ribosomal RNA, 175 nt
Filed under: Salmonella enterica subsp. enterica
Lineage: Bacteria; Pseudomonadati; Pseudomonadota; Gammaproteobacteria; Enterobacterales; Enterobacteriaceae
Description: partial 23S ribosomal RNA
Rfam family: Bacterial large subunit ribosomal RNA
Source: RNAcentral
GGGUUGUGAGGUUAAGCGACUAAGCGUACACGGUGGAUGCCCUGGCAGUCAGAGGCGAUGAAGGACGUGCUAAUCUGCGAUAAGCGCCGGUAAGGUGAUAUGAACCGUUAUAACCGGCGAUUUCCGAAUGGGGAAACCCAGUGUGACUCGUCACACUAUCAUUAACUGAAUCCAU